AUACUUACCUGACGCGAGAGGCACCUUGAUCAACUAGGAGGUCCUCUCAGGAUGAGGCCCUUUCAUUGCACUUCGACUGGGUUGACUCCUGCGAUUACCCCUAACGUGGGUAACUCGAGCGUAUAAUUUCUGGUAGUGGGGACCUGCGUUCGCGCUCGUCCCCU
Molecule: small nuclear RNA, 164 nt
Filed under: Paramuricea clavata
Lineage: Eukaryota; Metazoa; Cnidaria; Anthozoa; Malacalcyonacea; Plexauridae
Description: U1 spliceosomal RNA
Rfam family: U1 spliceosomal RNA
About the family: U1 is a small nuclear RNA (snRNA) component of the spliceosome (involved in pre-mRNA splicing).
Source: Rfam by way of RNAcentral